This 465-nucleotide ribosomal RNA is filed under the name uncultured Klebsiella sp. RNAcentral describes it as "bacterial SSU rRNA". It matches the Rfam family "Bacterial small subunit ribosomal RNA", at positions 338 to 795 of the family's 1533-position model. The record is from RNAcentral. Lineage: Bacteria; Pseudomonadati; Pseudomonadota; Gammaproteobacteria; Enterobacterales; Enterobacteriaceae.
CCUACGGGUGGCUGCAGUGGGGAAUAUUGCACAAUGUGCGCAAGCCUGAUGCAGCCAUGCCGCGUGUGUGAAGAAGGCCUUCGGGUUGUAAAGCACUUUCAGCGGGGAGGAAGGCGUUAAGGUUAAUAACCUUGGCGAUUGACGUUACCCGCAGAAGAAGCACCGGCUAACUCCGUGCCAGCAGCCGCGGUAAUACGGAGGGUGCAAGCGUUAAUCGGAAUUACUGGGCGUAAAGCGCACGCAGGCGGUCUGUCAAGUCGGAUGUGAAAUCCCCGGGCUCAACCUGGGAACUGCAUUCGAAACUGGCAGGCUAGAGUCUUGUAGAGGGGGGUAGAAUUCCAGGUGUAGCGGUGAAAUGCGUAGAGAUCUGGAGGAAUACCGGUGGCGAAGGCGGCCCUCUGGACAAAGACUGACGCUCAGGUGCGAAAGCGUGGGGAGCAAACAGGAUUAGAUACCCCUGUAGUC